Transfer RNA from Rhinocladiella mackenziei CBS 650.93, 142 nucleotides. It matches the Rfam family "tRNA". From Rfam's summary of the family: Transfer RNA (tRNA) molecules are approximately 80 nucleotides in length. Their secondary structure includes four short double-helical elements and three loops (D, anti-codon, and T loops). Further hydrogen bonds mediate the characteristic L-shaped molecular structure. tRNAs have two regions of fundamental functional importance: the anti-codon, which is responsible for specific mRNA codon recognition, and the 3' end, to which the tRNAs corresponding amino acid is attached (by aminoacyl-tRNA synthetases). tRNAs cope with the degeneracy of the genetic code in two manners: having more than one tRNA (with a specific anti-codon) for a particular amino acid; and 'wobble' base-pairing, i.e. permitting non-standard base-pairing at the 3rd anti-codon position. The record is from Rfam. NCBI's taxonomy places the organism in Eukaryota, Fungi, Ascomycota, Eurotiomycetes, Chaetothyriales, Herpotrichiellaceae.
GAUAACGUGGCCGAGUGGUUAAGGCGUGAGACUUGAACGGUGCUUUUGCACUGGCUCGGAAGGCUCUCGCAGCCUUGCGAUGUUUGAAUAUUCUUGAUAUCUCAUGGGUUCGCCCUCGCAGGUUCGACUCCUGUCGUUAUCG